GGUCGCGUGGCCAAAUGGUACGGCGUCUGACUACGAUCAGUAUAUCAGGAGAUCGCGGGUUCGAUCCCCGUCGUGACCU
Apiotrichum porosum is the source of this 79-nucleotide non-coding RNA. NCBI's taxonomy places the organism in Eukaryota, Fungi, Basidiomycota, Tremellomycetes, Trichosporonales, Trichosporonaceae. The record is from the annotation of a RefSeq genome assembly.